AUGGUGGUGUGUAGUAUCAUUCCUGCCUGCUUCAGUGUGAGGCGUAUUGAUGAUUUGUUGUGGUGUUUUAUGCAUAUAUAUGUAUUCCGAUGAGAUAUGUGUGAUAGGUAGAUGAAUGAUAUAUUGCUUUUUGACUUGUUAUAUGAUCUGGGUAUGAUGUAUAGCAGCUGUUCUGACAUGUGUGUUAGGUGGGAGUGUCUGUGAAGUAUAUCAUCUCUCUCCCUUUUCUUCUUGAAUUGUCUCUCCUUUUAUAUUGCCUCUGACUAACCUCUUGGGUUGCCAAUUGAUAACCCUCUG
Non-coding RNA from Lupinus albus (white lupine), 297 nucleotides. The record is from the annotation of a GenBank genome assembly. NCBI's taxonomy places the organism in Eukaryota, Viridiplantae, Streptophyta, Magnoliopsida, Fabales, Fabaceae.